Molecule: ribosomal RNA, 253 nt
Filed under: uncultured bacterium
Lineage: Bacteria
Description: partial 16S ribosomal RNA
Rfam family: Bacterial small subunit ribosomal RNA
Source: RNAcentral
UACGAAGGGGGCUAGCGUUGCUCGGAAUUACUGGGCGUAAAGCGCGCGUAGGCGGAUCGCUAAGUCAGGGGUGAAAUCCCAGGGCUCAACCCUGGAACUGCCUUUGAUACUAACGGUCUGGAGAUCGGGAGAGGUUGGUGGAAUUCCGAGUGUAGAGGUGAAAUUCGUAGAUAUUCGGAGGAACACCAGAAGCGAAGGCGGCCAACUGGCCCGAUACUGACGCUGAGGCGCGAAAGCGUGGGGAGCAAACAGG